CCCCUUCUGAAAAGCACUUGCUGGGUCUGGUUUGUGACCCAGGGAGAUGUCGUGGAAGGGCAGAAUAAUUGGGCACCACUUUUGGGUGAGGUGGCAGCUCGUGCUGUUCUGCCUCAAUCGGUGGUGCUACACGU
Molecule: small nucleolar RNA, 134 nt
Organism: Sphaerodactylus townsendi
Lineage: Eukaryota; Metazoa; Chordata; Lepidosauria; Squamata; Sphaerodactylidae
Source: RefSeq, a predicted model, not a curated record